GAGACUGUUUAGACACUACUUUAGAAAAGGCAUUUUUUUUGGUGUUGCUACUAGGAAAUUGUGUGUGUGUGUGUGUGUGUGUGUGUGUGUGUGUGUGUGUGUGUUUUCAGUGUCUCUAGCAGCUGAAAGUAUGCAAGAGCUAAAAUGCAGCUACAGCUGGAGCUAACUCCCAUUCAUUCAUCAUUGUCACUUCACGAAUUAGGAGCCAGCAGACCAUUUCUCUCACUUUACUUCAGCUCCUUUUCAGAACGAGUGCAGAUUCAGAGAAGAAGGUGGAGCAAGAUGGCAGAAUAAUUGUCCCUCCAAUAAGGACAUCAAGUUAACGACUACCUACACAGAAAAACAGCUUCAUAAGAACGAAAAUCAGAACUAAUUCGACUGUUGAUGCCCAUCGGACAAAUACUAUCAGGAACACAGCAACAUGAAUGCAGCUAGAUGCCAUUAUCUGAAGUGAACUAAUAGAGAAAUAGAAAACCAAAUACCACGUGUUCUUACCUGUAAGUGGGAGCUAAACACUGAGUACAAAUGAACAUUAAAAUGGAAACAGACACUGGGGACUACAAGAAAGGGGAAGGGCAGGAGGGCAAGG
This 589-nucleotide long non-coding RNA is filed under the name Homo sapiens (human). Its description in RNAcentral is "HSALNT0203241". Lineage: Eukaryota; Metazoa; Chordata; Mammalia; Primates; Hominidae. The record is from RNAcentral.